AGCCAUGGCGACAUCCUCGGCCGCGCUGCCCCGAAUACUCGGCGCGGGUGCCCGGGCCCCGUCGCGCUGGUUGGGCUUCCUCGGGAAGGCGACCCCCCGGCCUGCUCGGCCGAGCCGCAGGACGCUUGGAAGCGCGACGGCCCUUAUGAUCCGCGAGUCCGAGGACAGCACCGAUUUCAACGACAAGAUUUUGAAUGAGCCCCUCAAGCACUCUGACUUCUUCAGUGUCAAGGAACUGUUUUCCGUGAGAAGCCUCUUCGAUGCCCGAGUCCAUCUGGGACACAAAGCUGGCUGUCGGCACAGAGCACCCCGCUAAGUCCAACCCCAGAGGGGCCUCGUCCGCAAAGCCUCGGGAAGAGGAGAGUGGCAGAGGCGGCUGCCCUGUGAGCUGCACGGGGCAGAAUGUCCUUUUGGCGUCAUGUUGGAUGUCCACACAUCCAUAUGGGGUUUAUGGAGCCGUACAUCUUUGGGAGCCGCCUGGACCACGACAUCAUCGACCUGGAACAGACAGCCACGCACCUCCAGCUGGCCUUGAACUUCACCGCCCACAUGGCCUACCGCAAGGGCAUCAUCUUGUUCAUAAGCCGCAACCGGCAGUUCUCGUACCUGAUUGAGAACAUGGCCCGUGACUGUGGCGAGUACGCCCACACUCGCUACUUCAAGGGCGGCAUGCUGACCAACGCGCGCCUCCUCUUUGGCCCCACGGUCCGCCUGCCGGACCUCAUCAUCUUCCUGCACACGCUCAACAACAUCUUUGAGCCGCACGUGGCCGUGAGAGACGCAGCCAAGAUGAACAUCCCCACAGUGGGCAUCGUGGACACCAACUGCAACCCCUGCCUCAUCACCUACCCUGUACCCGGCAAUGACGACUCUCCACUGGC
Molecule: small RNA, 881 nt
Filed under: Pan troglodytes (chimpanzee)
Lineage: Eukaryota; Metazoa; Chordata; Mammalia; Primates; Hominidae
Description: processed transcript
Source: RNAcentral